Molecule: ribosomal RNA, 253 nt
Filed under: uncultured bacterium
Lineage: Bacteria
Description: partial 16S ribosomal RNA
Rfam family: Bacterial small subunit ribosomal RNA
Source: RNAcentral
GAGGGGGGAUUCAAGCGUUAUCCGGAAUCACUGGGCGUAAAGCGUCUGUAGGUGGUGAUGCAAGUCACUGGUGCAAAACUCUGGCUCAACCGGAGGAAAGCCAGUGAAACUGCAUGACUAGAGUGUGGGAGAGGUAGAAGGAAUUCCCUGAGUAGCGGUGAAAUGCGUAGAUACAGGGAAGAACACCGGAGGCGAAAGCGUUCUACUGGAACACAACUGACACUGAGAGACGAAAGCUAGGGGAGAGAAUGGG